Molecule: long non-coding RNA, 789 nt
Organism: Xenopus tropicalis (tropical clawed frog)
Lineage: Eukaryota; Metazoa; Chordata; Amphibia; Anura; Pipidae
Exons: 3
Source: RefSeq, a predicted model, not a curated record
GGUACAUUUCAGCAUAAACAGAAAUAUCUCUUGGUUUCAUCCAAUUUAUACAGUUUGUUAUGUCACAGUCCCGAUGGUAGCCCUCUAUGUUCUCUUCUUCCCAUCUAGAAGACCGUUGCAAGGCAACUUCUGUCGCACCCCUUCAUUGGAGAGAUCUGGGGUGAAAGGGGUGUGCAGAAGAACAUUGCCCAACAGCUGCACAGAGGAAUGAAGCACUAAAAGAACAAAAGAAGGCAGCCAUCGGGGGAGGGUUUGGGGCAUAGGGGGCCUAUUUAACAUCCUUGGGCCCCCCACAUAACAUCGUGGUCCCGAUGGCAGCCCUCUAUGUUCUCUUCUUCCCAUCUAGAAGACCGUCUGCAAGGCAACUUCUGUCGCACCCCUUCAUUGGAGAGAUCUGGGGUGAAAGGGGUGUGCAGAAGAACAUUGCCCAACAGCCGCACAGAGGAAUGAAGCACUAAAAGAACAGAAGAAGGCAGCCAUCGGGGGAGGGUUUGGGGCAUAGGGGGCCUAUUUAACAUCUUUGGGCCCCCCACAUAACAUCGUGGUCCCGAUGGUAGCCAUCUAUGUUCUCUUCUUCAUGGACAACAGCAUCUUCUAACAACUGCAUCUGAGAAAUCUUUAUUGUGUACUGAUUUAUACAAUAAAUAUUCCAUCUUUAGAUUAUAUCAAUCCAUGCUAGAUUUUCUUAUUGGGGAAGAUGGCCAUAAUAACCUCCAAGCCCACUGUUGGCUCAUAUCCAUAAUCCUUUUAAUAUAAAUUCUAAUGAUGAGUAAGAGAAGAAGGCAUAGC